This is a long non-coding RNA of Corapipo altera (White-ruffed manakin), 309 nucleotides long. RefSeq lists it as uncharacterized. NCBI's taxonomy places the organism in Eukaryota, Metazoa, Chordata, Aves, Passeriformes, Pipridae. The transcript has 2 exons. The record is from RefSeq and is a predicted model, not a curated record.
AUCGCUGCUCUGAAAACUCCGCAGCCCUGAGCUGUGGUAAAGCCAGCAGGGAGGACAGAUGCACAACCUGAUGCUGGAUCAGCACUAGGAAACUGUGAAGCCAUCUCACUGUGAAGGUUUCCUGGCAGAGGGUCUGUGUGGAGAAACAGAACAACGAGCUAAACCUCAGAUCAAAGAGCAAGUGACUCCUACCAGAGGCUGGACAACGUCCUGAGCAACCAACUAUUCUCAACCCUGCUUUGAGCAGUAGAAGAUGUCCAGAGGUCCCUUCUGACCACUGUUCUGCGAGUCUGUAAAAUGACAUCUACC